AUUUAGUUUUUUCAUACAGCUCUGUUGAUGAUUGGACAACAAGGAGGGCAAAAUUCAUCUCUGAUUUCUGAUGGGUGGAUCCCAGUUCCUGUCUUCCUUUCUCCCUGCAGCAGACAAAGGUAUAAUGUGUUCCAGUAGCUGGAAGAUGAAAGCUGGACAAAUUCACACUGGAAAUAAGGCGUAAUUGCUCUAACUGACAGGCUUCAGGAGUUUUCUUCUUUGCCUGCUCUUACGGAGCCCAGUCUGGGGAGCCAUUCAACGUUAGACAGUAACACGGAAGAGGUCCAUGAGACGAUGGCUGUGGAAGGGACCUUGGGCCUGGGAGGGAUGCUAUGAGCAAUGCUCCUGCCUGCAUUUCUGCUGCUGCUUGUGCAGUGCCAUCUCAGCAGCUAUAAAUGAAGCCUCCCUCCCUGCUGAGAGCACAGGAAGACUGCAGAGAGGGGGUAGCUAACUCUGCAGUGCUGGGCUAGUUGCUAGACUGGAUUGCUGAGAUGCAGCCACUAUAGUUCCCAUUUUCACACAAAACAAGCCCUUCCCCCUUUCUUUUCGCUCUCUUUGGCAGCCCCAUCUCAUCCACUAAGCUGCAGUAUGGGAGGGGGGGGGAGGGGGAGAGUGCUUCCUCACACACCCAACCCCUCCCUACCCACACCCUUCUCACUAGUCAUGCCACUCUGAAACCUAUUACCCUGUAGCUAACUCACUGCUCUGUGAAGGGCCCUUCCUCCAUUGUCUGAGACGAACUCACACUUGUAGCACCAGAGGGCUGAAGAACAAAGCGUGUUGCUGUCUCUGAACUCAGCCGUAGCUGGUGGAAAAUUUCAGAGAUUCCAAGGCCAGAAGGGAUUGUUGUGAUCCUCUAGUCUGACCUCCUGUAUAACACAGGCCAGCGAAUGUCCCCAAAAUCAUUCCUAGAGCAGAGCUUUUAGAAAGACAUCCAAGCUUGAUUUAAAACUUGUCAGUGAUGGAGAAUCCACCAUGCCCCUUGGUAAGUUGUCUUUGUAAAGUGCUUUGAGAUCUACAGCUGAAAAGUGCUCUCUAACAGCUAGGUAUUGAGUGUUGCGCUAGCCCUCUGAGCAGUGGAAAUUUCACCUCUACGUCAUUAAAUCCGAAGUAAGCUGAAUGCGCAGCGAGCCAAUCACUCGAACAAAAAGAAAAUCAGCCCGACAGAAGGUCUAGAGCAAAAUACCCUACUUGCCCCUCACAUUAUAUCAGAAUGGCGAGGACUGCACAAACUCUUGUGUAU
Long non-coding RNA from Chrysemys picta bellii (western painted turtle), 1243 nucleotides. RefSeq lists it as uncharacterized. The record is from RefSeq and is a predicted model, not a curated record. Lineage: Eukaryota; Metazoa; Chordata; Testudines; Emydidae.